Molecule: unclassified non-coding RNA, 2277 nt
Filed under: Lucilia cuprina (Australian sheep blowfly)
Lineage: Eukaryota; Metazoa; Arthropoda; Insecta; Diptera; Calliphoridae
Description: maltase A3, transcript variant X2
Source: RNAcentral
CUAGCUCAGUUUUAGUUCAGUUCCAGUUUAGUUCUAGUUCAGUUCUUGUUCUGUUCUAGUUCAAAUCUAGUUCAGAUAUAGAUCUAAUUGAGUUUUACCUUUAUUCAUAUUAUUUUUAUUAAUUCGUCUUUACUUCCUAAUUUUCCUGACGACUACCUCAUCAUAUUUAUGCUCAAAUCGCAGAACAUCAAAUCAAAACUAUUAUAAAGAUAUGAAAUUUUAUAACGUUAUAAAUUGUUUUCAAUUAUCGACCAAAAUUGAUUUUCUAAUCACUAUAAAAUAAAAUUAAGCAGUAAAGAUAAAUAAUAAUUCCUUAACACUAUUGAAAAAGUCAUAAAGAAAAAAAUAAUUUUAAGCUUUCUAAAGAACAUAAUCAGCCCAAUGCAUUUAAUAGUCAGCAAACAUGACAAGCAAGUGGACGUUAGCGGUGGUAGUGCUGUGGGCAAUUUUUAGUUCAAUACACGCAGAAAUAAGAACUAAAGGAUGGUGGGAGACGGCAUCAUUCUAUCAAAUCUAUCCACGUUCAUUUAAGGACUCUGAUGGUGAUGGUGUGGGAGAUUUAAAGGGUGUCACCAGUAAGUUGGCGUAUUUGAAGGAAAUAGGUAUAGCAGCUACUUGGCUUUCGCCAUUUCUUAAGUCUCCCAUGGCCGAUUUUGGUUAUGAUAUUUCUAAUUUUACUGAGGUGGAUCCAUUGUUUGGCACCAUGGAAGAUUUUGAAGAUUUAAUGAAAAAAUCCAAGGAACAGGGUGUGAGAAUAAUAUUGGAUUUUGUACCCAAUCAUUCGAGCGAUGAGUGUGAGUGGUUUAUAAAAUCGGCCAAUAGAGAUCCGGAGUAUAAAGACUAUUAUGUUUGGCAUCCGGGUAAAAUAGUAAAUGGUACCAGAACAGCACCCAAUAAUUGGGUUAGUGUAUUUAGAGGUUCAGCCUGGGAAUGGCAUGAAGGGCGUCAGGAGUAUUAUUUGCAUCAGUUCCACAAAAAGCAACCGGAUUUUAAUUUUCGCAAUCCUAAAGUUCGAGAUGCAAUGAAUAAUAUCUUGCGUUUUUGGUUGGAAAAAGGCAUUGAUGGUUUUCGCGUAGAUGCUAUAUAUCAUGCUUUUGAAAUAGCUCCCGAUGCUGAGGGUAAUUAUCCAGAUGAGCCACGCAAUGAUUGGACUAAUGAUCCAGAUGAUUAUGGUUAUGUUCAUCAUAUAUACACGGUGGAUCAACCAGAAACUCCCCAUUUGGUGUAUGAAUGGCGUCAGGUUUUGCAACAAUUCCAAAAGGAUAAUGGUGGCGAUGAAAGAAUCCUUAUGGUUGAAACCUGGUCUCCCAUAGAAAUAGUCAUGGAAUACUAUGGCAACGUAACAGCAGAGGGUGCUCAAAUCCCCUUCAACUUUCAAAUGAUCAGUUAUUUGUGGAAUGAUUCCGAUGCCUAUCAUUAUGCCAAUUUAAUUAAUGAAUGGCUGAGUAAAAUGCCUGCCGGUCGUACUGCCAAUUGGGUGGUGGGUAAUCAUGAUAAAAAUCGUGUGGGUUCUCGUUUUGGUGCCGAUCGCAUUGACAUGUUCAAUAUGUUGUUGCUAACAUUACCCGGCUGCAGUGUAACCUAUAAUGGUGAAGAGAUUGGCAUGACUGAUGUCUGGAUUUCUUGGCAGGAAACUGUAGAUCCUCAAGCCUGCAAUGGUGCAGAGGAUGGUUAUGAAACUCGUUCUCGUGAUCCAGCUCGUACACCCUUUCAGUGGAGCGACGAGUUGAAUGCUGGGUUUUCUUCGGGUAAUACCACAUGGUUGCCGGUGAGUCCUCAGUAUAAGAUGGAAAAUCUGAAACGUCAACGUGGUAUUUCUCUCAGUCAUUUGAAUAUUUUCAAACAAUUGCAAUUGUUGCGAGCGGAGAAUUCUUUGAGAGAUGUUCCCUUGCCGGUGAUUUCACUUUCAUAACCCUAAUGAACAUCUUCGAUACGGUUCAAACGGUUAAUUUAAAUGAACUUUUUAGCAACUUAUCUUCAGAAUUUGAAUACGUUGUGGUAACAGAUAAAUCUAUUAGAAGAAAAGGCGACAAAGUUUCCAGCAAUAGUGUUGUGCUAUUACCCAAAGAAGCAGUUGUUAUUAAAUCAACCCAAAAAGCAUAACAUAUUAUGGAAUAACAAAUUGUGCUGACUGUGAAAUAUUUCUAUGUUUUAUUUAUGAAAAAGAAAAUAAUAAUAAAACAAAAUGAAUAAAUGUUUUUUAUACUAAAUACAUGAAAUAAGUGAAGUUUUUGUAGUUUGUUGAAAAUCAGAUUACAAGAGAAGGAGGAGGAGUAA